This 274-nucleotide ribosomal RNA is filed under the name uncultured bacterium. Its description in RNAcentral is "partial 16S ribosomal RNA". It matches the Rfam family "Bacterial small subunit ribosomal RNA", at positions 523 to 796 of the family's 1533-position model. The record is from RNAcentral.
CUACGGAGGGUGCAAGCGUUACUCGGAAUCACUGGGCGUAAAGCGCGCGCAGGCGGCCAUUUAAGUUGGAUGUGAAAGCCUACGGCUCAACCGUAGAACUGCAUCCAAAACUAUUUGGCUAGAGUGUGGGAGAGGAAGAUGGAAUUAGUUGUGUAGGGGUAAAAUCCGUAGAGAUAACUAGGAAUACCAAAAGCGAAGGCAAUCUUCUGGAACAUUACUGACGCUGAGGCGCGAAAGCGUGGGGAGCAAACAGGAUUAGAAACCCCAGUAGUCC